Long non-coding RNA from Vanessa atalanta (red admiral), 1217 nucleotides. RefSeq lists it as uncharacterized. NCBI's taxonomy places the organism in Eukaryota, Metazoa, Arthropoda, Insecta, Lepidoptera, Nymphalidae. The record is from RefSeq and is a predicted model, not a curated record. The transcript has 3 exons.
AAAAAAAAAAUAAGAUGGCGCGCCAUAGAUUCGAAACGUAAAUGUACUGGUCAAAAGAAAUACACGAAAAUGUGAUGAUACAUAAUUUGUGAUUAUGAGAAUAUUGAAAAUCUACCAUUAGCUACAUCAGAAGCUUCGAUAUCCACAUAUGCUCCAAAAGAGUCUUUUGAAGGUUUAGGAUGUAAACAAAAGCGAAGACAUGAUCAGUAAAUCAAUUUAAAUUUCCCCAAAUAAGUUCCUUUCUUUGUUUGUAACAAAGGAAGUAACUUGUUUAAAAAGAAUUUGAAACGGAGAUUUGCCAAAAAUAAUGAAGUAUUUAUUCAAUCAUCCAGAACUCUAGUUCUUUAUCUAUAAAGUCCUUGACUUUAUCUAGUUCUGGAUGAUCCAGGGCCUGGAUAUCACUGCAAAUAUGAUAUAAUAUUAUAUAAUAUGAUGGAUACAGCUGUUCGAUGGUGGAUCGGAAGCUAGUGUAUGGAAAACUAAUAAUAUAAGUGUUUUUACCGGUGAAUAUUUGGUAGUUUUUACUGUGAUUUAGGCACAUCAUCCAGAACUAUUCCAGGCAAAUAAGAUGUUUCCAUCAAAUUUCAAGCAUUACUAAACUUGACGGUAUCAAGACAUUUGGAUGUACAUGGUUCUGACUUAUUUAAAUAUACAAACGAAGCUCAUUCAACAGUGGCAGAAUAAAAGGCGAAAACUUAAGUCAUCAAAAUUAAAAUGGCUUGAAGUGAAUCAUCAGUUAUUAGUGACAAUGUUUGACGGGAAUAUAACACCAUGGAUUGUCAUAAGUCUGUGAUAUCUGCAAGGGUAAGAUAUCAGAGAUGAAUCAUCUGGAAUUAUUUGAAAAUAGAGAAAUCAAUGAAAAAAAAUACUGUGGAUUUAUUAUCUCUACAUGCUUGGAUCAGACAUAUGAAAUUAUGAAUUAUUUACUUCUCAUUCUUAUCGUUUUGGAGUUCAAAUAACGGUGUGCCAGUGUGACUACACUUAAUAAGUUUGAGGAAGUCCUUAAUACAGGAAGCUUUCAAAAAGCAGUGCAGUUCAGUUUCAUGAAGUUAUAAUAAUAUUAUAAUUCAGUUAAUGAAGUAUUAAUUUCCGAACUGGAGGAGCAGGCACUACUAAUGAUGGAAAAACAGCUGAAUUUUUAGAGAUGUAGAGGGUACAGCCGACUUCACUGGUCUCGAUAAAGAAUUAAUAGAAAGAUUUCACAUCAUACUUCAAAC